CAAGGUGGAAACGAAGGAAAGCGCGUUGACGCCGGAAAAUAGAGCGGGGCGGUGACGAUUGCGGCAUCGCAGAGAGCAGCGGGGAGGGCCGGAGGAGCUCGGGAGCAUCUCUGGUCAAAUACUUUUAUUUGCUUAAAAUAAAAAAAAUUAACUAAAAAAAUAGAGAGCAAAAAAAAGAAGAUGAAAUUGCACUGUUAAGAUAAAAUUACACUAUUUUAGAAGAAUGUUGCAGUAUUAUAUAUAGAUAUAAGUAGCAUUCUUUGAGAUGUAAAUUACAACAUUUAAGAUGAAAGUUACACUCUUAGUAUUAUAUAUAGAUAUAAGUUGCAAUCUUUGAGGUGCAAAUUACAACAUUUAAGAUAAAAGUUACACUCUUUAAACGAAAGUUAUAUUUUUUGGUAGAUAGUUAUACUAUUUUUUCUCCCAAAGAGCAUUCUUUAGGAUGAAAGUUAUACUUUUUAAACGAAAGUUGUACUGUUCAAGAGAUAAUUAUACUAUUUUUCCUCCGAAAGAGCAUCAUUUAAGAUAAAAGUUAUACUAUUUAAAUAAAAGUUGCAGUCUUUGGGAGAUAGUUAUACUGUUUUUUCUCUCAAAAAGUACAACUUUUAUUUAAAGAGUGUAACUUUCAUCUUGAAUGGUACAAUUACAUCUUAAAGAGUGCAACUUAUGUUUAUAAUAGUGCAAUAUUUCUCUAAAACAGUGUAAUUUUAUUUUCACAGUGCAAUUUCAUCUCCUUCUUCCUUCUUCUUUAUUUCUUCUUCCUUACUUUCUAAUUUUUUAUUUUUAUUUUUUUUUAUUUUAAACAAACAAAAAUAUUUGACAAGAGAUGCUUCCAUGCACCCCUUGACCUCCUUGCCUCCGACCUCACUGAGGUCGCGCUCGCCGCUGCCCUUUGGGACGCCACACUCGCCACCGCCCCGCUCUCUUCUCCGGUGUCAUCACAUUCUCUUCCGUCUCCACCUCACUUGUCAUCGACCCCGGGCCGGCGCGAUGGGUCGCGCGCUCCCUCCCUCACCAGCGAGCUUCUUGACACCGAGAAGCGCUUCCUUUUCGUCGUCAGCGGCGGCGGUAAAGACGAUGGGUUCUCAGAAGUGGGUUUGGUGGGUGAAAAAUCAGCUACAGUGGAGAUGGAGGUGAAAGUGGGUCGUAAAGGGUUGCGGAGGCGGUGAGAGAAAGAAAAGAGGAUCGCGGCACAGCCUCAGCAAGGUUGGAGGUGAGUAGGCCGGCGGGUGAGCGAGAGCGCGUGCG
This 1248-nucleotide long non-coding RNA is filed under the name Ananas comosus (pineapple). RNAcentral describes it as "long non-coding RNA (ACOM_LNC033855)". The record is from RNAcentral. Lineage: Eukaryota; Viridiplantae; Streptophyta; Magnoliopsida; Poales; Bromeliaceae.